CACAUGCAGUCGAACGGUGAACACGGAGCUUGCUCUGUGGGAUCAGUGGCGAACGGGUGAGUAACACGUGAGCAACCUGCCCCUGACUCUGGGAUAAGCGCUGGAAACGGCGUCUAAUACUGGAUAUGUGACGUGACCGCAUGGUCUGCGUCUGGAAAGAAUUUCGGUUGGGGAUGGGCUCGCGGCCUAUCAGCUUGUUGGUGAGGUAAUGGCUCACCAAGGCGUCGACGGGUAGCCGGCCUGAGAGGGUGACCGGCCACACUGGGACUGAGACACGGCCCAGACUCCUACGGGAGGCAGCAGUGGGGAAUAUUGCACAAUGGGCGCAAGCCUGAUGCAGCAACGCCGCGUGAGGGAUGACGGCCUUCGGGUUGUAAACCUCUUUUAGCAGGGAAGAAGCGAAAGUGACGGUACCUGCAGAAAAAGCGCCGGCUAACUACGUGCCAGCAGCCGCGGUAAUACGUAGGGCGCAAGCGUUAUCCGGAAUUAUUGGGCGUAAAGAGCUCGUAGGCGGUUUGUCGCGUCUGCUGUGAAAUCCGGAGGCUCAACCUCCGGCCUGCAGUGGGUACGGGCAGACUAGAGUGCGGUAGGGGAGAUUGGAAUUCCUGGUGUAGCGGUGGAAUGCGCAGAUAUCAGGAGGAACACCGAUGGCGAAGGCAGAUCUCUGGGCCGUAACUGACGCUGAGGAGCGAAAGGGUGGGG
Molecule: ribosomal RNA, 702 nt
Filed under: Microbacterium sp.
Lineage: Bacteria; Bacillati; Actinomycetota; Actinomycetes; Micrococcales; Microbacteriaceae
Description: bacterial SSU rRNA
Rfam family: Bacterial small subunit ribosomal RNA
Source: RNAcentral